Molecule: long non-coding RNA, 222 nt
Filed under: Eucalyptus grandis
Lineage: Eukaryota; Viridiplantae; Streptophyta; Magnoliopsida; Myrtales; Myrtaceae
Description: long non-coding RNA (EGRA_LNC004384)
Source: RNAcentral
UUAGAUCGAUUUUAUACCUAUCCACUAACAUAGGAGGUGAGCAUGCAGGUGCGCAAUCAAAAAAGUAAUAAUUAUAACUACCAAGAUCCUAUUUGCCCUAAAAUUAAACACGUGCAGGUUAAACACAAAACACGCAAGUUAAAUAAGCGAUAAAAACAACAUACAAGAAAAUAAAGGCUUAAUUAUACUAAAGUAGCAAUACAUAGCAAUUCCUAACCAAAC